RNAcentral lists this ribosomal RNA (487 nucleotides) under uncultured cyanobacterium. Its description in RNAcentral is "bacterial SSU rRNA". It matches the Rfam family "Bacterial small subunit ribosomal RNA", at positions 355 to 853 of the family's 1533-position model. The record is from RNAcentral. Lineage: Bacteria; Bacillati; Cyanobacteriota.
UGGGGAAUUUUCCGCAAUGGGCGAAAGCCUGACGGAGCAAUACCGCGUGAGGGAGGAAGGCUCUUGGGUUGUAAACCUCUUUUCUCAAGGAAUAAGUACUGAAGGUACUUGAGGAAUCAGCAUCGGCUAACUCCGUGCCAGCAGCCGCGGUAAUACGGAGGAUGCAAGCGUUAUCCGGAAUGAUUGGGCGUAAAGCGUCCGCAGGUGGCUGUGUAAGUCUGCUGUUAAAGAGUGAGGCUCAACCUCAUAAAAGCAGUGGAAACUACACAGCUAGAGUGACGUUCGGGGGCAGAGGGAAUUCCUGGUGUAGCGGUGAAAUGCGUAGAGAUCAGGAAGAACACCGGUGGCGAAGGCGCUCUGCUAGGCCGCAACUGACACUGAGGGACGAAAGCUAGGGGAGCGAAUGGGAUUAGAUACCCCAGUAGUCCUAGCCGUAAACGAUAGGAUACUAGGCGUUGCGAGUAUCGACCCUCGCAGUGCCGGAGCC